GAAACUGUGGGGGCUAGCCUAAUGCAAACAAGUCGAGAAAACAGAGAAAAGCUGCUCCUUUGACGUUAGCGGCGGACGGGUGAGUAACACGUUUGUAACUUACCUGUAUGACUGGGAUAACUUCGGGAAACCGGAGCUAAUACCGGAUAAUAUUUCGAAACCGCAUGGUUCGAUAGUGAAAGAUGGCUUUUGCUAUCACUUAUAGAUGGACCUGCGCCGUAUUAGCUAGUUGGUAAGGUAACGGCUUACCAAGGCAACGAUACGUAGCCGACCUGAGAGGGUGAUCGGCCACACUGGAACUGAGACACGGUCCAGACUCCUACGGGAGGCAGCAGUAGGGAAUCUUCCGCAAUGGGCGAAAGCCUGACGGAGCAACGCCGCGUGAGUGAUGAAGGUCUUCGGAUCGUAAAACUCUGUUAUUAGGGAAGAACAAACGUGUAAGUAACUGUGCACGUCUUGACGGUACCUAAUCAGAAAGCCACGGCUAACUACGUGCCAGCAGCCGCGGUAAUACGUAGGUGGCAAGCGUUAUCCGGAAUUAUUGGGCGUAAAGCGCGCGUAGGCGGUUUUUUAAGUCUGAUGUGAAAGCCCACGGCUCAACCGUGGAGGGUCAUUGGAAACUGGAAAACUUGAGUGCAGAAGAGGAAAGUGGAAUUCCAUGUGUAGCGGUGAAAUGCGCAGAGAUAUGGAGGAACACCAGUGGCGAAGGCGACUUUCUGGUCUGUAACUGACGCUGAUGUGCGAAAGCGUGGGGAUCAAACAGGAUUAGAUACCCUGGUAGUCCACGCCGUAAACGAUGAGUGCUAAGUGUUAGGGGGUUUCCGCCCCUUAGUGCUGCAGCUAACGCAUUAAGCACUCCGCCUGGGAA
RNAcentral lists this ribosomal RNA (868 nucleotides) under Staphylococcus hominis. RNAcentral's name for it is "bacterial SSU rRNA". It matches the Rfam family "Bacterial small subunit ribosomal RNA", at positions 30 to 879 of the family's 1533-position model. Lineage: Bacteria; Bacillati; Bacillota; Bacilli; Caryophanales; Staphylococcaceae. The record is from RNAcentral.